This 162-nucleotide small RNA is filed under the name Fictibacillus phosphorivorans. RNAcentral's name for it is "c-di-AMP sequence". It matches the Rfam family "c-di-AMP riboswitch aptamer (ydaO/yuaA leader)". Rfam says of the family: This family represents a conserved RNA structure found upstream of the ydaO and yuaA genes in Bacillus subtilis and related genes in other bacteria. The ydaO/yuaA element is thought to act as a genetic "off" switch for the ydaO and yuaA genes in its native state. Lineage: Bacteria; Bacillati; Bacillota; Bacilli; Caryophanales; Fictibacillaceae. The record is from RNAcentral.
GGCUUUAGAUCGCUGAAUUUACAGUUAUUUUUAUAGUUAAACUAUAAACUACUGUAAAACGGGGGAACCAAUCUUUUGGGGUGAAUUUUGCUCUAUUGCAAAAAGGGAUACUCCAAUCCCUAAUCCGACAGCUAACCCCGUAAGCGUCAUGUCACUGGAGAG